GAUGAACGCUGGCGGCGUGCCUAAUACAUGCAAGUCGAGCGAACAGACGAGGAGCUUGUUCCUUUGACGUUAGCGGCGGACGGGUGAGUAACACGUGGAUAACCUACUUAUAUGACUGGGAUAAUUUCGGGAAACCGGAGCUAAUACCGGAUAAUAUAUUGAACCGCAUGGUUCAAUAGUGAAAGACGGCUUUGCUGUAUGUUAUAGCUGGUUCCGCGCUGCAUUAGCUAGUUGGUAAGGUAACGGCUUACCAAGGCAACGAUGCGUAGCCGACCUGAGAGGGUGAUCGGCCACACUGGAACUGAGACACGGUCCAGACUCCUACGGGAGGCAGCAGUAGGGAAUCUUCCGCAAUGGGCGGAAGCCUGACGCAGCAACGCCGCGUGAGUGAUGAAGGUCUUCGGAUCGUAAAGCCCUGUUAUUAGGGAAGAACAGAUGUGUAAGUAACUAUGCACGUCUUGACGGUACCUAAUCAAAAAGCAACGGCUAACUACGUG
This 497-nucleotide ribosomal RNA is filed under the name uncultured bacterium. RNAcentral's name for it is "partial 16S ribosomal RNA". It matches the Rfam family "Bacterial small subunit ribosomal RNA", at positions 28 to 507 of the family's 1533-position model. The record is from RNAcentral.